UACGUAGGGGGCAAGCGUUGUCCGGAUUUAUUGGGCGUAAAGAGCGUGUAGGCGGCCAAACAGGUCAGCUGUGAAAACUCGAGGCUCAACCUCGAGACGUCGGUUGAAACCGUAUGGCUAGAGUCCGGAAGAGGAGAGUGGAAUUCCCGGUGUAGCGGUGAAAUGCGCAGAUAUCGGGAAGAACACCCGUGGCGAAGGCGACUACCUGGCCUGUUCUUGACGCUGAGGCGCGAAAGCUAGGGGAGCAAACGGG
This 253-nucleotide ribosomal RNA is filed under the name uncultured bacterium. RNAcentral describes it as "partial 16S ribosomal RNA". It matches the Rfam family "Bacterial small subunit ribosomal RNA", at positions 524 to 776 of the family's 1533-position model. The record is from RNAcentral.